AAACUCCUGCGGAGUCAUCUUCUGUCCAGGGUCACACCGCUAGCAAGUCAGCAGUGGGAUUUGGAUUUGUCCUCAAAGCCUGGCCCAUUCACUAUAUGACCACUAUUAUGGUUGAUAGUGCUUCCCUUCCGACUCCUCAGCAGGUGCCCCCAGGAGGACAGCCCAACAUGCUGGUGCCGCCCAAAUUUGUGUCUCCUGCCCCAACCCCUGUCCGGACAUCAUUAGGUCAGCCCCUCCCUGGAUGACUGCACUGGCCACCCUGCAGGUACCUCAGAGCUUUGUGCGUCAUCAGGGGACGCAGUCUCUUCUGCCUCCCAGGCUACAUCAAGAAGGUGGCCACCUACAAGUCAGACAGUGGAUCUACAAGCACUUUGAUAUUGGACUUCCCAACCUCCAGAAAUGGGAGAAAUGAGUGUUUGUUUAAACCACCCGAUCUAUGGUAUCUUGUGGCAGCGGCCUGAACUAAGACGGUAACUAAAGGAGCGUGGCAAGAACAGUGUUACUUAAAGUGUAGACUUUACUGCAAAUCUGAAAUGGAAAUAAAGUCAAGGCUCUGUCUUUAUUUACAAUAAA
Molecule: long non-coding RNA, 573 nt
Organism: Suricata suricatta (meerkat)
Lineage: Eukaryota; Metazoa; Chordata; Mammalia; Carnivora; Herpestidae
Exons: 4
Source: RefSeq, a predicted model, not a curated record